CUCUGUUUACACAUCCACUCACACCUGUGCACCCUCCGUAGUUCUAUGGUCUGGGGGACCCUGUCUUCCUGCCGUGGUUCUACGUCUUUACACACACUCUGUAAUAAAGUCUUAUGGAAUGUAUGCCGCGUCUAACGCAAUACAAUACAACUUUCAGCAACGGAUCUCUUGGCUCUCGCAUCGAUGAAGAACGCAGCGAAAUGCGAUAAGUAAUGUGAAUUGCAGAAUUCAGUGAAUCAUCGAAUCUUUGAACGCACCUUGCGCCCCUUGGCUAUUCCGAGGGGCAUGCCUGUUUGAGUAUCAUGAACACCUCAACUCUCAUGGUUCACCAUGAUGAGCUUGGACUCUGGGGGUUUUGCUGGCCUGCGGUCGGCUCCCCUCAAAUGAAUCAGCCUCCCAGUGUUUGGUGGCAUCACGGGUGUGAUAAAUAUCUACGCUCGCGGUUGUCUGCCAUGUAACCUUUGGUGACAAAGGUUCGCUGGAGCUCACAGAUGUCUCUCCUCGGCGAGGACAGCUUUUUUGAACGUUCGAUCUCAAAUCAGGUAGGACUACCCGCUGAACUUAAGCAUAU
Molecule: ribosomal RNA, 571 nt
Filed under: uncultured Tomentella
Lineage: Eukaryota; Fungi; Basidiomycota; Agaricomycetes; Thelephorales; Thelephoraceae
Description: eukaryotic LSU rRNA
Rfam family: 5.8S ribosomal RNA (bases 149-303)
Source: RNAcentral